UACGGAAGGGGCAAGCGUUGUUCGGAAUCAUUGGGCGUAAAGGGCGCGUAGGUGGUUCUGUAUGUCUACCGUGAAAGCGUACGGCUCAACCGUAUUUAGUCGGUAGAAACUGCAGGACUUGAGGCUGGGAGGGGCUGGUGGAAUUCCCUGUGUAGCGGUGAAAUGCGUAGAGAUGGGGGAGAACACUCGUGGCGAAGGCGGCCAGCUAGACCAGUUCUGACACUGAGGCGCGCCAGCGUGGGGAGCAAACAGG
This 253-nucleotide ribosomal RNA is filed under the name uncultured bacterium. RNAcentral describes it as "partial 16S ribosomal RNA". It matches the Rfam family "Bacterial small subunit ribosomal RNA", at positions 524 to 776 of the family's 1533-position model. The record is from RNAcentral.